GCUUCACUCCACGGGCGGUGCCGGGUUGUGAAAGGGGCUGACAGUGCUGCUCUCCGGCAGAGGGGUGGAGGCAGGUGCGUGCACAGGUGUGCAGAUGAAAAGGACAACCAAGACACAUGGGACCUCUCAUGAUCCCUUCCUGUGGUUUCCUAUGGAGCAAACCACCCUGACACUUCGUGUUUCAUUAUAACAGCAAUUUAAAAAAUCAUCAACUCCUGGAAGGGCUUGUGGGUAGGUAUGGAGGAAGAUGAGCAAUGGUCUGCACAGAUGACAGAACGUAUCUGCAUCCCUAAGUCACCCCAGCAAGGUGAUCCAUGGUUGCAACUAGGACAAAACAAGCAUGCAGGAGGCACCCGGUUCCCAACAGCAUUUCCUGUAUUUCAGCAAGACCGCGUCAGGUUUUCCGCUGAACCAAAGGGGCCUCUUUCCCCAGAACCAGGCCUGGCCAUCUCUGAACAAGGGAUCUUGGAGAACAGUGCCUGCUGCUCAGUCAAUGCCUGAUGAUGGAGUGAACAGAUUUCUGCUUUCUGUGGCCACCUCUGGGUCACAGAAGGCCCAGAGGUUACAAGCAACCUCUAGUAUUUGAAGAAUGGAGAAAAAGGACAGAGAAGUAUGAAAAGGAGCCUCGCUUGGAUGCAUCCACUGAGCACUGAAGGGGAGGACCCUUAGGUGGCCCCGUCCUUUGCAAACAGGCUCAGUGCUUCUCCCACACUCACCCAGGGCCCAGAAUCCAUGCAUACAUGCAGGGUGGGGCAGGCCGACUCAGACCGACAUGUCCAGCCUCUGCCCAACUCCUCUGUUGGAGGCUUUGUGGGGAAUUUGGCAGAGCCUGGCCGUUCCUUCACUAAUUCGGCCGUUCUGGAAAAACCACCCAGUUAACAGGUCUGAGCCGCUUCCUCUAAUCCUGGGGACUAGAGGUGACUGCCACUUUGAGGCCAGUUAAAGUUCUUGCCCCCUCCUGGAAGCCCUGCACUGCUGGGAAGCAG
Molecule: long non-coding RNA, 986 nt
Filed under: Piliocolobus tephrosceles (Ugandan red Colobus)
Lineage: Eukaryota; Metazoa; Chordata; Mammalia; Primates; Cercopithecidae
Description: lncRNA (ENSPTEG00000021893.1)
Source: RNAcentral